RNAcentral lists this ribosomal RNA (364 nucleotides) under Papuadytes sp. IR073. RNAcentral describes it as "partial 12S ribosomal RNA". Lineage: Eukaryota; Metazoa; Arthropoda; Insecta; Coleoptera; Dytiscidae. The record is from RNAcentral.
AUUAUUUAAAAUUUAAAUUUAUUAUAUUAAAGUAUUAAUAGUUAAGUUCUUUAAAUUUAAAAAUUUUGGCGGUAUUUUAGUCUAUUCAGAGGAACCUGUUUUAUAAUUGAUAAUCCACGAUUAACAUUACUUAAUUUGUUAAAAAAUUUGUAUAUCGUCGUUUUUAAUUAUUUUAUAAGAAUUUAAAUUUUUAAGAUUUUUUAUUAAAUAUUAAAUCAGAUCAAGGUGCAGUUUAUAGUUAAGUAGGAAUGGGUUACAAUAAUUUUAUUUAUUAUGAAUUAAUAUAUGAAAAUUUUAUUAUGAAGGAGGAUUUGAUAGUAAUAAGAUUUAUUUAAAUUUUAUGAUUUUUAGCUCUAAAAUAUGU